ACUUCUACUCCUUGCUGCUGCUUCUCAAGGCAGUUCCUUCUGCUGCCUACACCUCCUCAGGCUCAAAUCCAAAAAUCCCAUGGGUACUGCCCACACAGCCUCCAGCCUGACCCCCCUGCACUGGUUAUCUGCAGCCUACCAGUGCAUCCUCAUGCUGCACACACAUCUACCCAUCUUUGCAGCUCACUCUCCCCUGGGGUAAAACCUCCUUUUGUAAAUAGCUCUUCCUUGUUAGCAAUGCAUCAAGAAACCAAAGCCUGGAAAUACUCCAUGUACUGGCUUUCCAAGGAUCUCAGUGGGAGGUUAUACCAGUUCCAGCAUUUGAUGGAUCACGUGGAAAGUGCCCAGAAAGGAGACAACCAUCUACAACUCAUUGAGUUCCCAGAAAGCUGACACAUGGGAACGCAUCACCUCGCAGCCAGCGCACAGCUGCCCCUUGCUGACCGCCUUUAACCAGGAGAUAACCAGGUAGAAGUAUGACCCGGAGGGCUUCCU
RNAcentral lists this long non-coding RNA (495 nucleotides) under Anas platyrhynchos platyrhynchos (common mallard). RNAcentral describes it as "lncRNA (ENSAPLG00000018766.1)". Lineage: Eukaryota; Metazoa; Chordata; Aves; Anseriformes; Anatidae. The record is from RNAcentral.